AACGAACGCUGGCGGCAUGCCUAACACAUGCAAGUCGAACGAGACCUUCGGGUCUAGUGGCGCACGGGUGCGUAACGCGUGGGAACCUGCCCUUAGGUUCGGAAUAACUCCCCGAAAGGGGUGCUAAUACCGGAUAAUGUCUUCGGACCAAAGAUUUGUCGCCUUUGGAUGGGCCCGCGUUGGAUUAGCUAGUUGGUAGGGUAAAAGCCUACCAAGGCGACGAUCCAUAGCUGGUCUGAGAGGAUGAUCAGCCACACUGGGACUGAGACACGGCCCAGACUACUACGGGAGGCAGCAGUGGGGAAUAUUGGACAAGGGGCGAAAGCCUGAUCCAGCAAGGCCGCGUGAGUGAUGAAGGCCUUAGGGUUGUAAAGCUCUUUUACCCGGGAUGAUAAUGACAGUACCGGGAGAAUAAGCUCCGGCUAACUCCGUG
RNAcentral lists this ribosomal RNA (433 nucleotides) under uncultured bacterium. RNAcentral's name for it is "partial 16S ribosomal RNA". It matches the Rfam family "Bacterial small subunit ribosomal RNA", at positions 29 to 507 of the family's 1533-position model. The record is from RNAcentral.